RNAcentral lists this ribosomal RNA (438 nucleotides) under Triticum aestivum (bread wheat). RNAcentral describes it as "partial small subunit ribosomal RNA". The record is from RNAcentral. Lineage: Eukaryota; Viridiplantae; Streptophyta; Magnoliopsida; Poales; Poaceae.
AUGACUAGGGAUAACCUUAGGAAGAGACACAUCAUCAAACCCCUUGAUUGUGUUUACUGCUUGGAACAAGAGUCUUGUUCUCACCUAUUUUUUGAAUGUAUAGUUGCUAAACAUCUCUGGGCCCACAUUGAGGAAUAUUUCUCUAGUCAGAUUGGCUCAUCCUUCGAAUCUGUCGCCAGAUUCUAGAUUGCUACCAAAAAGUGCUCAGUUUUAAACACUGUUAGCUCAGCUGUCCUUUGUUGCCUCUGGAAAUAUAGAAAUGCUAUGAUUUUCAGUAACACCUCCUGGAUUUCCAUUCCACAGGUCUUGAGGUUGAUCAGGAACAUGGUGAGGAACUGGGCGAUUCUCUCCUCCGGAUCGGACAAGGACAAGUUGAUGAGCUUCAUGGAAACCCUAACAAGAUCCCUCCAGGAACCGUUGGCGAUCACUUGUGGCUGA